Molecule: ribosomal RNA, 263 nt
Filed under: uncultured bacterium
Lineage: Bacteria
Description: partial 16S ribosomal RNA
Rfam family: Bacterial small subunit ribosomal RNA
Source: RNAcentral
GCAAGUCGAACGAGAACGCUCCUUCGGGAGUUAGUAGAGUGGCGCACGGGUGAGUAACACGUAGGUGAUCUGCCCUUUGGCGGGGGAUAACUCUUAGAAAUGAGAGCUAAUACGCCAUAAGAUCAACAAAUUUGAAAGUAGUUGAUGAAAGGAUGCCUCUCGUUGGAAGCAUUCGCCGAAGGAUGGGCCUGCGGGUCAUUAGUUAGUUGGUGAGGUAAUGGCCUACCAAGACUACGAUGACUAGCUGAUUUGAGAGAAUGAUC